GACGAACGCUGGCGGCGUGCCUAAUACAUGCAAGUUGAGCGCUGAAGGUUGGUACUUGUACCAACUGGAUGAGCAGCGAACGGGUGAGUAACGCGUGGGGAAUCUGCCUUUGAGCGGGGGACAACAUUUGGAAACGAAUGCUAAUACCGCAUAAAAACUUUAAACACAAGUUUUAAGUUUGAAAGAUGCAAUUGCAUCACUCAAAGAUGAUCCCGCGUUGUAUUAGCUAGUUGGUGAGGUAAAGGCUCACCAAGGCGAUGAUACAUAGCCGACCUGAGAGGGUGAUCGGCCACAUUGGGACUGAGACACGGCCCAAACUCCUACGGGAGGCAGCAGUAGGGAAUCUUCGGCAAUGGACGAAAGUCUGACCGAGCAACGCCGCGGGAGUGAAGAAGGUUUUCGGAUCGUAAAAAUCUGUUGGUAGAGAAGAACGUUGGUGAGAGUGGAAAGCUCAUCAAGUGACGGUAACUACCCAGAAAGGGACGGCUAACUACGUG
Molecule: ribosomal RNA, 497 nt
Filed under: uncultured bacterium
Lineage: Bacteria
Description: partial 16S ribosomal RNA
Rfam family: Bacterial small subunit ribosomal RNA
Source: RNAcentral